UGUGGGUGUUAACAGGGGACUCUGGAGGUGGGGGGUUUCCAGAGGUAGGGCAGAUAUCUGGGGGUUAGUGGGGUCUGUGAAGGUAGUGGGAAACCCUCAGGAUGGGUGGGUGCUCUAGGGCUUCAUGAGCGUCCUUGGGGACUUAGAGUGUGUCUCUGGGGGUUAGUGGAGGGCUCUGUGGGUGACAGAGGGUUCUGGGGUUAUCAGUUUUGGGGGCUAGCUGAGGGUUCUGGGCUUUGGGCAGGUUCUGGUUGCCAUGAGGAAGGAGCUACUUCACUUCAAGAUGGUUGAUGGAUGAAGGAAAGUUGUGUGCUUCCCCCAGCUCCUUUUCCUGCAUACGAGUGCCUUGUUACAGAGUUAUGUUGUUCAGCCUCUGCCACCUUGUUCCCAAAGUGUUGAAACUUCCAAGGACCUGUGCAAACAUAGGGAAGCCAAAGUGAUGUGAUUGUUCCCAUAAUGUAGUAACUGAUUUCAGAAUCAAGGAUUAGAGAAGAAAAAAAUCUAUCUCCGCACGCACCCUAUCUGUGGGUAAUUCAAUGCAUGUCUGUGUAUAGACUCCUUCCCAGUGCUGCUGUAUCGCCCGGCCGACAGAAACCCUCUGCCAGCUCAGCUCUGAGAUUUACAAGGUAAUCUCAGCGUCAGAAGACUCAAAUGCUAAGACAUUCGGGAGAAACCUGCUGUAUAGUUUGGUUAAUAUGUAAGCCUGCUUAUUCUCUGAGAGCAAGUCAGCCUGUUCCCCAGAUGGUUCUCAGAAGCGUUUGGAGUUAGAAUACUUUGAGAAGAAAUUCUCUGUUCAAAUUCAGACCAGAGAAGCAGUACACAAAAUGAAGGCAUGUAGUGGUGUUACCGACUGUGUUUGAACCCCAAGAACUUUGCAGAGCAUCAAUGUCUUAUUGUCAAAGCAAGAAGGACUUUGUUACAUCCCGAGGAUGAUGAAUGUUUAGGAUGUUGUUAACUUGGGUGUGCUGCAUCCCCUCUGUUUUCAUGGGAUGCAUCUGCUGUGAGAAGCGUGACAAGCUUUCUAUUUGACAAACAUAACAAAGAAUUCGCACUCCUUGCAUGCUUGAGUAAAUGCAAAAAAAAGUCACUUUUAAAAAUCUGGUAUUUCCUGACUUUUUUUUUUUUCUUUUAACUACAGUUUUGUCUCAAUUUAGCUCAAAAUAGCUUGUGUGUUUAUUUUCCUUUUGGAAGGAAAAGGACAUCCCUUCUUGCCUAUACAAACAAAAAGUUACCUUGACAGAUUAAAGAAAUUGCAAGCUUCAGCAGCUUUGCCAGCAAAUUUUGGAAGGUCUUUGCGCUGUACUAGCCCUAUAGACUAGCAGUAUUUCAUAGCUCCCAAUCACUUUGCCUUUUCAGACUAACAGAUACAUCUGUAGCUGAGCAUGGAGACAUUUUAUUUACGCUGUGACAACCAAAUAAUUUUUGAAAUACAGAUUUUUU
This 1440-nucleotide long non-coding RNA is filed under the name Apteryx owenii (little spotted kiwi). RNAcentral's name for it is "lncRNA (ENSAOWG00000016458.1)". The record is from RNAcentral. Lineage: Eukaryota; Metazoa; Chordata; Aves; Apterygiformes; Apterygidae.